CUAUACAUGUUCGAGGCCAUUUGGCGGCGUUUAUUAGACCUAAAACCAAACCGCUUGCGGUGUCCGGUGAUUCAUAAUAAAUAUGCGAAUCGUACUCUGUACGAUGUAUCAUUCAAGUUUCUGACCUAUCAGCUUUGGGCGGGAGGGUAUUGGCCUACCGGGGCAACGACGGGUAACGGGGAAUUAGGGUUUGAUUCCGGAGAGGGAGCCUGAAAAACGGCUACCACAUCUAAGGAAGGCAGCAGGGGCGCAAAUUACCCAAUCCUGACACAGGGGGGUAGUGACAAGAAAUAACAAUACGGGGCUUAAAGUCUUGUAAUUGGAAUGAUGGGAAUUUAAACCUCUUCCAAAGUAUCAAUUGGAGGGCAAGUCUGGUGCCAGCAGCCGCGGUAAUUCCAGCUCCAAUAGCGUAUAUUAAAAUUGUUGCAGUUAAAAACCUCGUAGUUGAAUUUCUGCUGCAUUGCUUGUGUCCCUCUGGGGUCUGUGCAUGUGGCUUUUUUCCGACGGAGUUUCUUUGGCUGAAUGUUUACUUUGAGAAAAUUAGAGUGCUCAAAGGAGGCUUUCGCCUUGAAUAGUUUAGCAUGGAAUAAUAAAGUAGGACUUUGGUUCUAUUUUGUUGGUUUUAGGUACCAAAAUAAUGGUUAAUAAGAACAGUUGGGGGCAUUCGUAUUUAACUGUCAGAGGUGAUAUUCUUAGAUUUGUUAACGACGAACUACUGCGAAAGCAUUUGCCAAUGAUGUUUUCAUUCAUCAAGAACGAAAGUUAGGGGAUCGAAGACGAUCAGAUUCCGUCGUACUCAUAAUCAUAAACUAUGCCGACUAGAGAUUGGAGGUCGUCGGUUUUGACGACUUCCUUCAACACCCUGAGAAAAAAUCAAAUCUUUUUGGUCNCGGGGGGAUGUAUGGUCGCAAAGUCUGAUAUUAG
Molecule: ribosomal RNA, 924 nt
Filed under: Theileria annulata
Lineage: Eukaryota; Apicomplexa; Aconoidasida; Piroplasmida; Theileriidae
Description: SSU rRNA
Rfam family: Eukaryotic small subunit ribosomal RNA
Source: RNAcentral